RNAcentral lists this ribosomal RNA (522 nucleotides) under uncultured bacterium. RNAcentral describes it as "bacterial SSU rRNA". It matches the Rfam family "Bacterial small subunit ribosomal RNA", at positions 988 to 1509 of the family's 1533-position model. The record is from RNAcentral.
CCAGAGAACUUAGGCAGAGAUGCUUUGGUGCCUUCGGGAACUCUGAGACAGGUGCUGCAUGGCUGUCGUCAGCUCGUGUUGUGAAAUGUUGGGUUAAGUCCCGCAACGAGCGCAACCCUUAUCCUUUGUUGCCAGCGGUUCGGCCGGGAACUCAAAGGAGACUGCCGGUGAUAAACCGGAGGAAGGUGGGGAUGACGUCAAGUCAUCAUGGCCCUUACGGCCAGGGCUACACACGUGCUACAAUGGCGCAUACAAAGAGAAGCGACCUCGCGAGAGCAAGCGGACCUCAUAAAGUGCGUCGUAGUCCGGAUUGGAGUCUGCAACUCGACUCCAUGAAGUCGGAAUCGCUAGUAAUCGUAGAUCAGAAUGCUACGAUGAAUACGUUCCCGGGCCUUGUACACACCGCCCGUCACACCAUGGGAGUGGGUUGCAAAAGAAGUAGGUAGCUUAACCUUCGGGAGGGCGCUUACCACUUUGUGAUUCAUGACUGGGGUGAAGUCGUAACAAGGUAAGCGUAGCGAG